Molecule: ribosomal RNA, 479 nt
Filed under: Acanthodactylus boskianus (Bosk's fringe-fingered lizard)
Lineage: Eukaryota; Metazoa; Chordata; Lepidosauria; Squamata; Lacertidae
Description: partial 16S ribosomal RNA
Rfam family: Bacterial large subunit ribosomal RNA
Source: RNAcentral
CCUAACCGUGCAAAGGUAGCAUAAUCACUUGUCCUCUAAAUAGGGACUAGAAUGAAUGGCUAAAUGAAGACCCAACUGUCUCUUGCAGCUUACCAAUGAAACUGAUCUCUUAGUUCAAAAGCUAAGAUUUCCCCACAAGACGAGAAGACCCUGUGGAGCUAUUAAACCAAACUCACUCACAAAAUGACCCCUUGGUUUUCAGUUGGGGCGACUUCGGAGCAUAAAAAACCCUCCGACACAAAACCAAUAAACCUAGAUGGACACAUCAAUACUCCAAGACCCAGUAGUUUAUCUUCAAACUACCUGAUCAAUGAACCAAGUUACCCCAGGGAUAACAGCGCCAUCCUCUCUUAGAGUCCCUAUCGACGAGAGGGAUUACGACCUCGAUGUUGGAUCAGGACACCCCAAUAGUGCAACCGCUAUUAAUGGUUCGUUUGUUCAACGAUUAACAGUCCUACGUGAUCUGAGUUCAGACCGGA